RNAcentral lists this ribosomal RNA (477 nucleotides) under uncultured bacterium. RNAcentral's name for it is "bacterial SSU rRNA". It matches the Rfam family "Bacterial small subunit ribosomal RNA", at positions 36 to 507 of the family's 1533-position model. The record is from RNAcentral.
CUGGCGGCAUGCCUUACACAUGCAAGUCGAACGGCAGCACGGGAGCUUGCUCCUGGUGGCGAGUGGCGAACGGGUGAGUAAUACAUCGGAACGUACCCUGAAGUGGGGAUAACGUAGCGAAGUUACGCUAAUACCGCAUAUUCUGUGAGCAGGAAAGAGGGGGAUCGCAAGACCUCUUGCUUUAGGAGCGGCCGAUGUCGGAUUAGCUAGUUGGUGAGGUAAAAGGCUCACCAAGGCGACGAUCCGUAGCGGGUCUGAGAGGAUGAUCCGCCACACUGGGACUGAGACACGGCCCAGACUCCUACGGGAGGCAGCAGUGGGGAAUUUUGGACAAUGGGCGCAAGCCUGAUCCAGCCAUGCCGCGUGAGUGAAGAAGGCCUUCGGGUUGUAAAGCUCUUUCGGUGGGGAAGAAAUUGCACAGGAUAAUACCUUGUGUAGAUGACGGUACCCGCAUAAGAAGCACCGGCUAACUACGUG